CCACCCCAGUGACACUCGACGGCUCCCGGGCUGCAGAGCGCUCCCCCUCCCCCCUGCUCAUGCAGCACCGAGGGAGCUCCGCAUACCCCGUCCCCUAAUGCAACACGGAGGAUGGGGACAGCUACAGACGGGUUCCCCAAUGCAGCAGUAAGGAGAGGGGGGACUGCAGACCUGUUCCUCUCCAGUGCAGCAUGGAAGGGGGGCAUCUGCAAACCCGCUUCUAACUCCAAUGCAGCAGUAAAGGGAGGGAGGGGGAGAGAGGUGAAGACUGUUGUACAUCAUCAGGUAGGAUUCCAUGAACAAUACCUUGUUUCCUGCCUGGCUUCCAGAAGAAUCGUUCGUACCUCAUUUUCCUAGGCUCUCAUUGGGUAUCCAAAGAUGCAGAUGGCUGGUUGAGCGAAAGACCUUGAAGAAAAUUCUGUGCUGUGCAUACCAGAUAUGUUGAGGAAUUGGUAUGCUCACUGUAAGCAAAAUAACUGCUCUUGGUUGAAGCACUGAAUCCAAUCACAUGAAGAGUGUCAAAAGGAACCUACGAGUGAGACACCAAGAUGGCAGUUCCACUGUUGAUUGAGAGGUUGAGGAAAUGGACUGAUGCAUGAGUGCUGUCAUAUGUCUGUCCAAGAAAAGGAUGUUAAAACAUGGACUCUCGUGUUGUUAAACCAGAGAAGAUCUGGGUUGCGAUCAUCCUAUCAAAAUGGACUUUGCACUUGAAUUAAUCAGGGGACUGUAUCGUGACUGUCCAAUGAAGGAUCUGUUUGAGGACUGGGUGGCAAAAUUUGACUUUUGGGUUGUGUAUGCAUAAGAGGAGAAUGCAUUUGGUAAGAGAUCUAUUGCUGCCCCUUCGCAGAAAAUGUAAUGCUUGUUAAUUGACUUAAUAAAAGGUUUUGGUUUCUUUCACACUUUGCGUUUGUCCUUUCUGGCUGAGUAUUUUAUUCUGUUGAUACUGAAGUGGGUUUACAUUCUGGGGUGCUAUUAAAGUGAGAAAUACUUUAGCUGCUAAGCACUAAAAGCAAGGUAAAAUUCUGUGCUAUACUUGAUUUAAGAUGUGGUUUUCAUUUGCAAAUUAUGUUCACUUUGCCAUGACUUCCAAUGAAUUUUUAUUUGCUCGUUUGUUCAUUCAGGUGCUUAAUGUUAGGGGGCUUGCAGUACUUGGUCUAUUGUCAGGCUACUGCUGA
This is a long non-coding RNA of Dryobates pubescens (Downy woodpecker), 1175 nucleotides long. RefSeq lists it as uncharacterized. The record is from RefSeq and is a predicted model, not a curated record. The transcript has 5 exons. NCBI's taxonomy places the organism in Eukaryota, Metazoa, Chordata, Aves, Piciformes, Picidae.